This 832-nucleotide ribosomal RNA is filed under the name Phylloporus leucomycelinus. RNAcentral describes it as "eukaryotic LSU rRNA". The stretch from base 186 to 340 matches the Rfam family "5.8S ribosomal RNA". Lineage: Eukaryota; Fungi; Basidiomycota; Agaricomycetes; Boletales; Boletaceae. The record is from RNAcentral.
AGGGCAGAGGCGACUGUCGCUGGCGGGGUCUUCUCCCGCAUGUGCACGUCCUUCUGCUUUUACUCUAUUCACCCACACUCACACCUGUGCACUUUUUGUAGAUCCCUCCUCGAAAGAAGAGGGAUCUAUGUCUUUAUCAUAUCACCUUCACAUGUAUGGCCAGAAUGAAAAACAUAAUAAAAUACAACUUUCAGCAAUGGAUCUCUUGGUUCUCGCAUCGAUGAAGAACGCAGCGAAUCGCGAUAAGUAAUGUGAAUUGCAGAUUUCCAGUGAAUCAUCGAAUCUUUGAACGCACCUUGCGCUCCUUGGUAUUCCGAGGAGCAUGCCUGUUUGAGUGUCAUCAGAAUCAAUCAACCACGCUUUUCUUCACGGAAGAGCAUGGCUUGGAGUUGGGGGUUGCUGGCGUUCACCGUCAGCUCUCCUUAAAUGCAUUAGCGAUCGAGUCGGGCUAGUCUUUCGACGUGCACGGCCUUGGACGUGAUAAUGAUCGUCCUGGGCUGGAGCGUUUGGUUGGCAUGACAUAGAUCGAUCGCAAAAAAGAUAUGGGAGGGGAAGGGGAUGGCGAUGUGAUCGGUCUGGUUUGGAGCUUAGAGCUACUAGGCAGUCUUGAGAGAGGCUGGCGAAAACCAAGCAAAGGGACAGAUCGAGAUCAGAGCUUGAGCUUUUCUUUUCUAAUCGAAAAAGAAAAGAUGGGGGAAGGAAGGGGAUGGCGAUGUGAUGGGUCUGGCAGAGCUUUAGCUACUAGGCAGUCUUGAGAGAGGCUGGCGAAAACUGGAGCAAAGACGGAUCGAGAUCAGAGCUUGAGCUUUCUUUCUUUUUUCUUCUUCUUGGA